UAACCUGCCCAAGAGAUCGGGAUAACACCUGGAAACAGAUGCUAAUACCGGAUAACAACAGAUGAUGCCUAUCAACUGUUUAAAAGAUGGUUCUGCUAUCACUCUUGGAUGGACCUGCGGUGCAUUAGCUAGUUGGUAGGGUAACGGCCUACCAAGGCGAUGAUGCAUAGCCGAGUUGAGAGACUGAUCGGCCACAUUGGGACUUAGACACGGCCCAAACUCCUACGGGAGGCAGCAGCU
Molecule: ribosomal RNA, 240 nt
Filed under: uncultured Lactobacillus sp.
Lineage: Bacteria; Bacillati; Bacillota; Bacilli; Lactobacillales; Lactobacillaceae
Description: partial 16S ribosomal RNA
Rfam family: Bacterial small subunit ribosomal RNA
Source: RNAcentral